RNAcentral lists this ribosomal RNA (440 nucleotides) under uncultured bacterium. Its description in RNAcentral is "partial 16S ribosomal RNA". It matches the Rfam family "Bacterial small subunit ribosomal RNA", at positions 338 to 795 of the family's 1533-position model. The record is from RNAcentral.
CCUACGGGUGACAGCAGUAGGGAAUAUUGCUCAAUGGGGGAAACCCUGAAGCAGCAACGCCGCGUGGAGGAUGAAGGUUUUCGGAUUGUAAACUCCUGUUGUUAGAGAAGAGAAUGACGGUAUCUAACGAAUAAGCACCGGCUAACUCCGUGCCAGCAGCCGCGGUAAUACGGAGGGCGCAAGCGUUACUCGGAAUCACUGGGCGUAAAGGGCGCGUAGGCGGGAUAGCAAGUCAGAUGUGAAAUCCUAUGGCUUAACCAUAGAACUGCAUUUGAAACUGUUAUUCUAGAGUAUGGGAGAGGUAGGUGGAAUUCUUGGUGUAGGGGUGAAAUCCGUAGAGAUCAAGAGGAAUACUCAUUGCGAAGGCGACCUGCUAGAACAUAACUGACGCUGAUGCGCGAAAGCGUGGGGAGCAAACAGGAUUAGAUACCCUAGUAGUC